Osmia lignaria (orchard mason bee) is the source of this 3896-nucleotide long non-coding RNA. RefSeq lists it as uncharacterized. The record is from RefSeq and is a predicted model, not a curated record. NCBI's taxonomy places the organism in Eukaryota, Metazoa, Arthropoda, Insecta, Hymenoptera, Megachilidae.
GUGAGAAGUCUGUAUACGACACGCUCUCCCAGAAUCCACUGUCACUUCUUUGGCUACAGUCUGAACCUGGACAAGUACAGAUCUAUUACAAACAACUGUAACAACUGGAAGCUCUACCGCAAGAUCUACAGACAGUCACAGUGAUGGCUCUCGCGGUUACACUCGCCUUGCCCGUUGCUGUGGGAACAAUUGUUCGGGCAAACUUGAAUCUCGCAUGCCUCGCCUGUCCACGUGGCGUCGCACGUACACACACCGUCGAUGCAAACACCAUGGCCGGAACAGUCGAUAAACGAAUACCUGCGGACCACAAAGCAUGUACACACGGAAGAGAGAUAGGCUGAACAAAUCUUUAAGGAGCACGCCGCGCUAUCAGCUCGUCUAAUCCAAAUACCAGCAGGGGAAGAAAUUCGACAAAAAUCGUCGGACUGGAUUGCGAUUGUAGGAACGAAUGGCUGAUCUUGAGAGUACAUUCCUGAACAGGGACAACAGGUUAUCAGCGACAGAACAUUCCUCUUUCCUAACGCAUGAAUGUCAACUGAAUAAAACGAAGACUAAUUGCAAGAUAAUAUGGCGCGAAUGGGAUCAACGGACACGUUCUAAUCGGAUAAAAAGCCGAUUAUUAUUUGAUCCGUUCGCGGUCGACGAUAUGUCAAAGUUCAUCCAAAACAAAUCUGGAACGCGAGAUCUAUGUAUAUUAAUGAAUGCUGCAGAUGAAAUAUCGCAGUUGCUUAAUCGCAUCAGCUCCAAAUAUUUACUCGAGUUUGUUUAAGAGAUUAGCCGGUAGUCGAUGUCAAAUUAUAUAUUAUAUUUCAACAUAAGCUGACACAUGUUCGUGCAUGCUUUUAUGCUGCUCACGAUCACUACCGGUAUUAAUAUUUUGACGGUCGUAUGAUUCAUAGAACUGUUUAACGCGUACAGUGUACGUAACUCAAAUACAAUUAGCACGAGUCUUUAUGAAUAACAAGGGAAGAUUAAAUAUCUCAGAAGCUAUAAAAAAAGAAUGAUUUAUUACUCAGAGAAACUACUUAACGAGCAGGGCUCAAAACAAUUUAAACUUCAAUAAUAGAAGAAUAAUAUCGUUUACCAGAUACACAAAUACAGGAGGGGCAUAACCAGAGAUGUAAAACACACAGAUCGUUUACCUGCUCGGGCAGGCGUUGAUCUUGUAAGUGAUAUUGAAACCGCUCAUGUUGUAAGCGACAUCCGAGUAGAAGUGUAGCAGAGCGCUUCCGGACCGAGCGAUCACUUCCGGCUGGCGCAUGUGAUAGCCACCCUUCUGCAUCAAGCCAGAAAAUACGGCGAGCAACGGUGCCUCGACGCUGUCACCGUCGUAGAUGUACAGAUGAUCCCAGCCGCAUUCUGUCGCGAACUGCUCCACGUGCAUACGUAUAGUGGAAUUCGGGCUGCUCUCGAUCAGCCAGGAACACUUCACGUCCGCCGUGUAGUUGCCGAUACCGUCGUGGAUGUUGCCCGUUGGAUCCGUCAGUCUAUAACGAGACAAAGAAACUCUAUCAAUUCUCUAACACCUGAACCAUCGGAUCACUGAUAAUGAUUGAUCGACGACGAAACUGCUAAGCGUCGAUAGAGUAUUUGUCAAACACUCGACAAAUCGAGUUCCAUGUUUUCACGAUAAUUACGAGUCCGACAGAAAAGCUGACGAGCGUGAACUCAUUGAUCGAUUAAAAUUUUAUGAUGGAUUUCGAUAUUAAUUUUGCAAAAUAGCGUACAGCGUUAAAAGAUUAGGAAAAACGACGUUUUAUGAUCCAUUAAUACUCAAAGAUAAUGCUUAUCUUAAAAAUAUGAUAUUUUCAAUCUAUGAAAAUUAAUGUGAAUUAAUAUCCUUGUGAUAGAAUAACGGUAGCUUUCAAAAGCAAGGCCAAGAGAUUUGUCUCCUACCGCAUACUUUUCUUUUCCUAUCUUAUUUUAUUUCCAAGCUACGCUCGGCUGUGAUUUAAAUUUUCUUAAAAUAAUAGCGAAUACUUGAAAUGACUUAGCAAUAAAGAACGGCGCGGUGUCGUCGCUUAUUAAAAUUCCUAGCCUCGAAGACUAAUUGCAUCGAAAGCCAGAAAUCAUAGUCGACUGCACAAUGUUCAAGGUCUCACGGUGCAGUAUCGAUGUCUCGGUUGUUAUCAGCCGGGACAAUACAAGAUCACGCACGUUGAUAAACGCGCACAAAAGAAAUAAGAAUGCAGUAAAAAUUACCUUGCUUAUCUUUCGUGCACGUCAAUACUUGGCAUUGCUUUCCAUUUAUUUGAAUCACAAUAGCGUCAUUUAAAUUGGAAAAACUGUAAACCUCUUUACAAGUGAAAACAAUGAGAUAUUUUAUCUUCUUUGAUUUCAAAGUAACUCGCAGGAAGAUAAGUAAAGCUUAUAGAAAUGAUAGAAGGAAAUUAUAAAAUUACUUAGAAAUUUCAUUUCUUCUAUCUUUAUUAAUACCAUUAACGUAAAUGCAGGAGCUGACUCGACCCUCGAUUUCGACGUUUCCGGGGUGCCCGAUGCCAAGGACGGUGUCUAUGCGGAUAACAGAAGAGGGAAGCGUUUCGUGGACGUGAUAACGAUAAAGCCUGGACACAGACGAGCGACCAAAGCGAUCGAGCGGAGACGAGCGAUAGAUAAGCGUCAAUCUAAAUCACAAAAGCCUGGAGUUUGAACGAUACAACAUCAAGAUGCGUCUACAAAGUGAACCCUUUCGCGCACGAAGCGUAUCGUGCAUGCAUAGAAUAUUCUUCGUUUAAUUUAAACAGCUUAACAUAAAGUAUUCGCUGAAUCUACUUAACUUGCUACGUACUGUAAAACUUCACUUGCAGUAUAUCAAUUUGAAACUUAGUAUAAUGAAAAUGACUGUACGAACGCAUCAGACUUUUCAUGUUCUCGUUUCAUUCGCAGCAACCUGAAUUGAUCAUCCGCAAAGGGUUAACGUCUGAAGAACAAUAACAGAAACUAGCACUCCGUUCAGCUAGAGUAUUGACGCUGGAAAAAAAAAUACGAGCGAACGAUGAAAGACACCUGUGCCAUUAUCGAGCAAACGCAUUUAUAGGGACGAUUGCGUGUCGAAAACGGAUGCGUAUUGUCGAACAGUGACGUUCGAGGAAUAACAAUACGUUAACACCGAUAAUGCAAUGGAAAAAAAAAAGGUGGAAAAAGUACAGAGGACAUGGGAGAAACCGGGUACAGCGACGAUGUAACGAGCAAGCUUCGUUGCGCGUAAAUUCUCAUCGGUGAUUUACGGCACUAACACGUGUCGCGGACAGGAUGGCUGACAUUAAUAUUUCAGCGCGAAACAUUUUUGCGCCAGGAUCACGGAAACGCGCGGAGAACCGUGGUCGAAAACGGAUACUGAGCUGGCAUUGUUGAAAAGUGCGCAGGGCGAAAGAACGCUCGAAUAAUCAUGAGACAGCCAGGUGAUAAUCUUAGAAAGCUAUAUUUCUAGAUUUUUAGUAUAUAAAAUAAUGGAAAUAAAAUACAGAUGAACUGGUGUGCAAAGGACUCGUAAUGAAACUCGUGCGAAACUUCUUCAUCGUCGACGAGCAAAAUGCGACUGUCUGUAAAAACAAUUUUCAACGUUAAUACGCCGCCGGUUAAGCAAAGGAAAUUAAGCGGGAAUGUGGUCAACGAGCAAAGAACGGAGCAGUGGAUGGAUAUUUACAAUGGAGCAUCGGCGUAAACCGUAAAGGAAAGCACUCGAAAAGAGAAAAAGAAGAGGAACGUCGUCGUCUUUGAAGCGCUCUCGAGAUUCAGGAGAAAAUACAGCUUGAUUCUUCAACUUGCACCCUCGAGAUUUUUAUAUACGAAACUCAGAAUAUAACCGGAACCGUAUGCGACAUCCUGUAGUAAAGGAUGAGCAGUUUAUAGUACAAGAAUAACUUGAAAUAUUGGGGUAAGAAUUGACAAAGAUU